Long non-coding RNA from Salarias fasciatus (jewelled blenny), 1419 nucleotides. RefSeq lists it as uncharacterized. The record is from RefSeq and is a predicted model, not a curated record. NCBI's taxonomy places the organism in Eukaryota, Metazoa, Chordata, Actinopteri, Blenniiformes, Blenniidae. The transcript is spliced from 3 exons.
UCUGGCUCUGCGGAGUCCGGCUCUGCUGGGUCUGGCUCGGCGGAGGCGGGCCUGGCGGGACCGGGUUCCAAGGAGCCCGGCGCUGCCGCCGCAGCCGUUCCCCCCCCCGGCGGUGGCUCCGCGCUCCGGGCUCCCGGGGGACGCGGUGGCCCCGGCUCAGCCCGAGCGGCCGACGGCGGCUCCUCAGACCUUCCCGAGGAGGCGAUCUGUCGUGGCCCCACAGGAGAGCACCGAGCACGGGGUGAGCAGGCUGUGUGGGCAGCUCCUCAGCUAAUUGGAGUCUCCUGUCCAGAGUGGCCUCAUCUGUUUCACGUGUUCAGCUGUCUAUUUAAGCUCGCUGCAGUCCACACUCUGACGCUGGAUCGCUGAACUCCCUGAGUCACCUGGACCUCCUCUGUCUAUCCCCUUGCCUGCCACCUGCUCACCUGGCUGCCCUGGAGCUCGGUACCCCCCGGACUCGUCUCCCGGACUGUUACCCCACCAGGCUGCUUGAGUCUCAGAACCGUCCACGGCUGCUGGGAAAGCAGCACCUCGUCUCCCCGGCCUCGGACUGGAUCUGUUAAUUAAUAAACCUGAUAAACCCUGACUUCCUGUUCUGGUUUGCCUUUCUGCAUCUGAGCCUUCGUCUCACCCUCCGUGACGUUUACAAAUAUGCUUUUCUGACAAAGUUUGAUCUUCCCUGACAUUUUGGCUCAAAUAAACGGAGAAAAGACAAAGCAAUGCCUGGGGAGGACUGUUCAUGCUGUGACCUGCACACAUAGGGAAUUCCAGUAAGUUUUUCACAUCCUGACUCCAUGUGGUGCCAUUUUGCACAAUGUCUUUUUAAAAGAACUGGAGGGCUUGAAUUUCUCUUAAAGAUUAGGUUAGGUUAGAUUAGGUUAAGAUUUGUUUUCAAAGUUAAUCUUUGUGUAUUCUGCGAUGAAUCAAAUGAAUCUUUAGAACAUUUAUUUUUCCCUGUCCUCUUUCAAAAACAUUUUGGGAUGAUGUUAAAGAUUGGUUUUCUCUCAAGAUUGAUGACAUUCAGAAUUUGGACCUCACUGAUAUUUUAUAUUACAAAACGAAUCCAGACACAGCUUGAUCCACUGUUAUUAAUUAAUUCUUUUGUUGGGAAAAUAUAAUUUACAUUGUAAUAAAUUAAAGAACAAAUAACCCUCUUAUUUCAAAAGUCAGUUUGACCUUUAUUUUUUGUCUCUCAAAAGGAUGUCGGGUGCUGUUUCCAAAAAAAAUAUGCCGAGAUAUGUCAUGUUUUCUUCUGAUUUAAUUUCAACAUAGAAGACCCACCAGUGUACAUUUAACUGAUGUUGACUUUUGUUGAUUUGCUUGUGCCAUGUCUGAUUGUUUGCACCCCUGCCCCCCCCCCCCCCCACUUUGUAAUUCUUAUCUCUUUGCUUGUGUUCUUUUCUUGAUUGUUUUAGCGAU